This 77-nucleotide transfer RNA is filed under the name uncultured Gemmatimonadaceae bacterium. Its description in RNAcentral is "tRNA-Arg-CCG". It matches the Rfam family "tRNA". Rfam says of the family: Transfer RNA (tRNA) molecules are approximately 80 nucleotides in length. Their secondary structure includes four short double-helical elements and three loops (D, anti-codon, and T loops). Lineage: Bacteria; Pseudomonadati; Gemmatimonadota; Gemmatimonadia; Gemmatimonadales; Gemmatimonadaceae. The record is from RNAcentral.
GCGCGAGUAGCUCAGUUGGAUAGAGCGUCGGCCUCCGGAGCCGAAGGUCGUGGGUUCGAAUCCCGCCUCGCGCAUCA